This 1892-nucleotide long non-coding RNA is filed under the name Pan troglodytes (chimpanzee). RNAcentral describes it as "long non-coding RNA NONPTRT005210". Lineage: Eukaryota; Metazoa; Chordata; Mammalia; Primates; Hominidae. The record is from RNAcentral.
GGGGAGGGACCUGCAGCCAGGUGAUCCGGGUGCCUGUAUUUCUUCCCAAGGAUAAUGUGAGUUGAUGCUGGCUGAGAUCUGCUCCGAUGAGGGUUUGAAAGAGAGAGCUCCGGGUGUCAAAGUCAGUGGAUGGCAAAACAUGCCUGGAGGGAGCAACCAGGCAUCCGACCACAGGCCCUGGGCUGGGGGGUGGUGGAAGCAGAGGAAGGAGAGAGAAGGAAAUUUGGGAGGAAGAGUGGGCACGAACUGGCUGCCCAAUUGUGUGGGUGGGUAGGUGGCAGGGAGGGACUGGAUGUUCUGGGUCUGCCCCUCCGGCCGCACCACACCUGCUUCCAGGUGAGCUUAGGAAUUUCCCAGGCUUCCUCCCAGCUGGAGCCAGACGUGUCCCUCAGAGGCCCCAGCCCUGCCCAUCCUUUCCUGCCCUACCCAGGGCUUCUCUACCUUCUUGGCUUGGCCUGCUCCUUGUUCACACCUUGGUAAAUGACCCUUCACAAAAGUCAUUUUCUCUAUUUGUGCUUUUCUUUCUUUUGCCAGGACCCUUGACUUUCUCGACAGGGAGGGGGAGGCAAGGCUGGUGCCCAGUGCUCUGCCUGCACUGGUCAGUGCGCGUGGCUGUCACUUGGCUGGGAAGCUAGGCCAGGAGAGCAGCUGCAGCUGUGGAGGUCAGCAGUUGAGAGGUGGAGAGACCUGAGCACACUUGGGCCAGCUGUCCCAUGGCAUUUGGGAGCCCAGGACCGAGCCGGGGGGCAAGUGUGGGCAAUGCUUGGAGCCACAGAGUGGGGGUAGGGAAUUGGAGGGGUAGAGAGGACAACUCAAACUAAGCCAGGAACCCACAGAGGAGACCAGGAAAGGAAAACCAAGAAGGAGUGAGUCCCCAAUGCCCCCAAAUGGAUCCAUAUAUCGAAUGAUCCCCAGUAAAAGUAGCUCCAUGAUGAUUCCAAAGCCCUUAGGAAACUAAAGGUGCCAGGAGAAUGAAUAGACACGUCUCCAUAGAAGACACACACUGGCCAACAAGUACAUGGGAAAUGUCCAGCAUCCUCCAGGAAAUGCAAAGCAAAACCACAGUGAGAUCCCACCUCCCACCCGCUGGGACUGGGCAGAUGCAGUCCUGGCAAACCAGUCUUGGUGAGGAGGGGGGGUAUCAGAGCCCUGCUGCACUGAGAUACACACACACAAAAUGGAAUAGUAUUCAGUCUUAAAAAGGAAAGAAAUUCCAGUACUGGCUGCAACUUGGAUGGACCCUGAGGAUCCUAUGCUGAGUUAAAUAAGCCAGUCACAGAAGAACACGUACCAUACAAUCCCACUUAUGUGAGGUCCCUAGAGUAGUCACUUUCAUAGAGAUAGUAGCUGACAGGAGGAGCAUGGGGAGUGACUGUUUAAUGAACACAGACUUGAAAUUUGGGAAGAGGUAAAAGUUCUGGAGAUGGAUGGUGGUGAUGGGUGGUGAUGAUGGACAUUGGAGAUGGGCAAUGGACAUGGAUGGUGGUGAUGGAUGGUAUAAAUGGAUAUUGGAUGUGGACAGCGGACGUGGACAGUGGAGAUAGAGGGUGGUGAUGGCUGGUGGACAUGGACAGUGAAGAUAGAGAGUAGUGAUGGAUGGUGGAGAUAGAGGGCGGUGAUGGACAGUGGAGAUAGAGGGUGGUGAUGGACAGUGGAGAUAGAGGGUGGUGAUGGACAGUGGACAUGGACAGUGGAGAUAGAGGGUAGUGAUGGACAGUGGAGAUAGAGGGUGGUGAUGGACAGUGGACAUGGACAGUGGAGAUAAAGAGUGGUGAUGGACAGUGGAGAUAGAGGGUGGUGAUGGAUGGUGGACAUGGACAGUGGAGAUAGAGGGUGGUGAUGGACAGUGGAGAUAAAAGGUGGUGACGGACAGUGGAGAUAGAGGGUGGUGA